AAAUUUAAAGUUCUACCGUGCUGCACAAUAACGGGUUAUGAUCUAGCUCUAUAGAUAUUUUUCCAAGACCGAUAUGUAUGAUUAU
This 85-nucleotide small RNA is filed under the name Arabidopsis thaliana (thale cress). Its description in RNAcentral is "ATSL047830". Lineage: Eukaryota; Viridiplantae; Streptophyta; Magnoliopsida; Brassicales; Brassicaceae. The record is from RNAcentral.